RNAcentral lists this ribosomal RNA (253 nucleotides) under uncultured prokaryote. RNAcentral describes it as "partial 16S ribosomal RNA". It matches the Rfam family "Bacterial small subunit ribosomal RNA", at positions 522 to 774 of the family's 1533-position model. The record is from RNAcentral.
AAUACGGAGGGAGCUAGCGUUGUUCGGAAUUACUGGGCGUAAAGCGCACGUAGGCGGCUCAGCAAGUCAGGGGUGAAAUCCCGGGGCUCAACCCCGGAACUGCCCUUGAAACUGCUAGGCUAGAAUCUUGGAGAGGCGAGUGGAAUUCCGAGUGUAGAGGUGAAAUUCGUAGAUAUUCGGAAGAACACCAGUGGCGAAGGCGACUCGCUGGACAAGUAUUGACGCUGAGGUGCGAAAGCGUGGGGAGCAAACA